RNAcentral lists this unclassified non-coding RNA (362 nucleotides) under fungal sp. Its description in RNAcentral is "partial internal transcribed spacer region". The stretch from base 1 to 46 matches the Rfam family "Eukaryotic small subunit ribosomal RNA", at positions 1786 to 1831 of the family's 1831-position model. The record is from RNAcentral. Lineage: Eukaryota; Fungi.
AAGUCGUAACAAGGUUUCCGUAGGUGAACCUGCGGAAGGAUCAUUAACACAAAUGUUUCCAAACCUUAACAAUGGUGCAUUUAAAACCCUCUUUUGAAAAGUGUCGAUUGUGCAAUGGUUGAUUAAUUUAUUUAAUGGCCAAUCGAUUUAAGCUAAUGGCAACAUUAGCGGCUUAUUCGAAAGAGAGUAGUAAUCAGUCUCAACCAUGGCUGAGCCCCUUUAUUUUUUUAACCAAUCGAUUUUUUUAAUCAAUUCUUUCUUUCUUUAAAUUUUAUUUAAAGUGAGAAUACACUUUCAAUUAGAAGUCAAAUUCUAAUUUAAAUGUGAAAACACAACUCUUAACAGCGGAUAUCUCGGUUCUC